GAUGAACGCUGGCGGCGUGCUUAAUACAUGCAAGUCGAACGAGGUGCUUCUGUAGUAAUACGGGAGUAUCCUAGUGGCGAACGGGUGAGUAACACGUUGGUGACCUGCCCCGAAGUGUGG
Molecule: ribosomal RNA, 120 nt
Filed under: uncultured bacterium
Lineage: Bacteria
Description: partial 16S ribosomal RNA
Rfam family: Bacterial small subunit ribosomal RNA
Source: RNAcentral